UACGAAGGGUGCUAGCGUUGCUCGGAAUGACUGGGCGUAAAGGGCGCGUAGGCGGAUGGUACAGUCAGAUGUGAAAUUCCUGGGCUCAACCUGGGGGCUGCAUUUGAUACGUGCUGUCUUGAGUUCGGAAGAGGGUCGUGGAAUUCCCAGUGUAGAGGUGAAAUUCGUAGAUAUUGGGAAGAACACCGGUGGCGAAGGCGGCGACCUGGUCCGAUACUGACGCUGAGGCGCGAAAGCGUGGGGAGCAAACAGG
RNAcentral lists this ribosomal RNA (253 nucleotides) under uncultured bacterium. RNAcentral's name for it is "partial 16S ribosomal RNA". It matches the Rfam family "Bacterial small subunit ribosomal RNA", at positions 524 to 776 of the family's 1533-position model. The record is from RNAcentral.